Molecule: ribosomal RNA, 373 nt
Filed under: uncultured bacterium
Lineage: Bacteria
Description: bacterial SSU rRNA
Rfam family: Bacterial small subunit ribosomal RNA
Source: RNAcentral
AUAACGUAGCGAAAGUUACGCUAAUACCGCAUACGACCUGAGGGUGAAAGCGGGGGACCUGCAAGGGCCUCGCGCGAUGGGAGUCGGCCGAUAUCGGAUUAGCUAGUUGGUGAGGUAAAGGCUCACCAAGGCGACGAUCCGUAGCGGGUCUGAGAGGACGACCCGCCACACUGGAACUGAGACACGGUCCAGACUCCUACGGGAGGCAGCAGUGGGGAAUUUUUGGACAAUGGGGGAAACCCUGAUCCAGCCAUUCCGCGUGAGUGAAGAAGGCCUUCGGGUUGUAAAGCUCUUUCAGCAGGAACGAAACGGCAGGCUUUAAUACAGCCUGCUAAUGACGGUACCUGCAGAAGAAGCACCGGCUAACUACGUG